GGCUCGUGUCCGCUGCCCCAUCUAGGAUGGUAAAUGCGUCGAUUAAUUCAGUCGCCUCUUUGUCCUUUAUCGCACUUCUCGCUAAAUCGGUGUCGCGGGUCACCAGGACAUCUAUGGUUCGCCCAACGGCGUACAGGCUCGCGCUUGGGUUUGGAAGGAAUGUUUAGGGGAUCAAAAAAGAGAUGGACAACGAUGCCGUAUAAAGAAAGUCCACUCGCUCGUGCACCUUGCCCGAAGCCACCGUUCGGGUCCCAAAAUCCUGCCGGGAUCACAUUGGGCCGCGGUCAAGCCGGCCCGCCCUAAAAUGGGCCGGCCCCGCACAAUGCGGGUUAACGGCCCAUUCUUCCAGUUUUCAUUCAACCCUGAUCCUUGAGGCGGCGUAUUGGGAUGACGAGUUAACACGCAAGAGUCUCCAUAAAACAUUUUAGAGCCAG
RNAcentral lists this long non-coding RNA (434 nucleotides) under Pandoravirus neocaledonia. RNAcentral describes it as "hypothetical ncRNA". The record is from RNAcentral.